GUGCCAGCCGCCGCGGUAAUACGGAGGAUGCAAGCGUUAUCCGGAAUGAUUGGGCGUAAAGCGUCCGCAGGUGGCUUUGUAAGUCUGCUGUUAAAGAGUGAGGCUCAACCUCAUAAAAGCAGUGGAAACUACAUAGCUUGAGUACGUUCGGGGCAGAGGGAAUUCCUGGUGUAGCGGUGAAAUGCGUAGAGAUCAGGAAGAACACCGGUGGCGAAAGCGCUCUGCUAGGCCGUAACUGACACUGAGGGACGAAAGCUAGGGGAGCGAAUGGGAUUAGAUACCCCAGUAGUCCUAGCCGUAAACGAUGGGUACUAGGCGUUGUCUGUAUCGACCCGGACAGUGCCGUAGCUAACGCGUUAAGUAUCCCGCCUGGGGAGUACGCAGGCAACUGUGAAACUCAAAGGAAUUGACGGGGGCCCGCACAAGCGGUGGAGUAUGUGGUUUAAUUCGAUGCAACGCGAAGAACCUUACCAGGACUUGACAUGUCGCGAAUCUUGAUGAAAGUCAGGAGUGCCUUCGGGAGCGCGAACACAGGUGGUGCAUGGCUGUCGUCAGCUCGUGUCGUGAGAUGUUGGGUUAAGUCCCGCAACGAGCGCAACCCUCGUUCUUAGUUGCCAGCAUUAAGUUGGGCACUCUAGAGAGACUGCCGGUGACAAACCGGAGGAAGGUGGGGAUGACGUCAAGUCAGCAUGCCCCUUACGUUCUGGGCUACACACGUACUACAAUGCAACGGACAAAGGGCAGCUACACAGCGAUGUGAUGCUAAUCUCAUAAACCGUUGCUCAGUUCAGAUCGCAGGCUGCAACUCGCCUGCGUGAAGUCGGAAUCGCUAGUAAUUGCAGGUCAGCAUACUGCAGUGAAUUCGUUCCCGGGCCUUGUACACACCGCCCGUCACACCAUGGAAGCUGGCAACGCCCGAAGUCAUUACCCCAACCGCUUGCGGAGGGGGAUGCCUAAGGCAGUGCUGGUGACUGGGGUGAAGUCGUAACAAGGUAACC
Molecule: ribosomal RNA, 998 nt
Filed under: uncultured bacterium
Lineage: Bacteria
Description: bacterial SSU rRNA
Rfam family: Bacterial small subunit ribosomal RNA
Source: RNAcentral